CAGACCAUUCCAGCGGAAGCAGCCCUAGCUGUGGCUGCAACCUCUGUCACCCCCAGGAAUUGUGGCUCUUGUCUCUGCUGUCCUAGUCAUCCUGGCUUGUCCUUCCUGUGUAGUAGUCGCUACACCACAGGGCCAGCAUGCUAGAGGGGAUGUUUCCUGUGAGCCUCUGGGUGUAUUGAUUCUACUUUGAAUGGUUCUGAUUAGUGUUGCUUUGUGUGGGAAUAUUCUAAGAAAAGUCAAGAACUUCACGGUUAUAUCUGGCACACAGGAAAGCCAGCAUAGUGACCACUCCAGCUGCCUCUUUCCGAGUAAGGCUCCAGCUCCUGUGUACUGGGAAAGCAGGUGUUUGAGUCAGAAAAAAGGAAAGUUCUAGAAUCCCAUUUCCUCACCCUGCACUCUAUCAGAUCCAGGAUUUGUUUGUAGGUCAUCAGGCUUCCAGUAAAGUGCUUCACCUUCUAUCUGUAGGAGCCAGAAAAGAAUCUAUUCCUGAUAAGUGUGAAAACUUAUUCCACAUGAAAGAUGAGAACAUCUAACAGGUCUCUAUCUGGGGAGUGUUCAAACCCAGAUGCCACCACUUCCCACAGGCUUAUCUAUGGGUUUCAACCUCUCAGUAGCAUCAUAAUAGUGCAUUGUUCAUUCAGAGGGUCCCAUCCCAAUGCAGGCCACCAUCUGAGGGGCUGGGAGGCAGCAAGGAUGGGCCUGCCUUUGUGGCUUGAGCCUAAUUGUAGAUCCAAUCAUGAGUCAUUGAAAUAACCCCCAGUGCUUAUAAGAGUUCAUACUCAGCUCCGCAUAACUACUUCAGUUCAUACAGAUGCAAUCAGUUCUUCCAUCCAAAGGAAUCCUCUUUCUUUUGGCCUUGGAGGAACCAGACGACACCCCCAUAAAUCAUUUUCCCACACUGUGUGAGGUUGUCAUAUUUCAGGGUCAGUUUGCCCCUACCAUAUGUCAGCGUGCUUUGUGAGCUGUGUUUUAGGAGGAUUCUGUUCUGUGUGUAUUUCCUAUACCAGCCUGCACAGUGGCUGUCAAAUGCCUAGUACAGACAUCUUAGUAUUCAAAGCCCACCAAAGAAAGCUGUGUUCAGAUGUGGGCUUAUUUGGUCAGCUUGAAUAAAAGCCAGUGUUGCUCUGAUAUUUCCUGAGAAUUAGCCAGUAGCUAAGGUUUCUUUUUAUGAAGUGAUAGGAAUGCAUAUUUUCGUCUUCCAGGAAGUCUGGUUUUUUACUUUUAUCAUUUGAAAGAAUAACAUUCCUGGGCAGCUGUGCUUCUAAAAGGACGUUCCUUUGCAUUUCUCCUGUUAUUCUCAAAUCUCUUAUUUCCUCCCAUUUCUGUAUCUAAACGGAGUGGGGGCCUAGGGCAGACAGGAGCCAACGAAAGGGUGGUAGCUUGGCGACGUCUGGUUGAAUGGCAGCGGCUCCCGGGUGGAAACUCGCCCGUCCUGCGGGCGGAUCCCGAGGUGCUGGCUCCCCCUGCUGCGGCUCGCGGGCGUUGCUCUGCGCAGGGCGCGGGUGGUCACGCGGAGGGGAGAGGAGGGCGGGGACGCUGUGACUCAGAGCUCGGAAUGUGGGCCCGGCGGGCAGAGGCGGCAGGAAGCUAGUGUGGCUUUGCUGUUUCCUGCUGCUGGCCUUGGGCCAGCACCUAGUAGGUCCUUGGUCCUCUUGACUUUUCUGCUCUAGUGAGAGCCUCACGUGUGCAUUGGAGGCGUCAGGGCAGGUGGUGCCAAUGAAGCCCCUCUCUCCAAGCUUCUAGAAGUCAAGUCUGUUCUACUUGGAAUGGGUAACAGCGUCUCUACUUGCAGACUUCAACUUCCGAAAUUUUAGAUGGAAAGAACUGUUUGUGGGAUGCAGCCUGUGAAUGUGUGGGGCGUGUGGGCACGAGUGUGCCCUGGGCAGGGGACGAAUGGCCGCGUGGGAAACAGGGAGCACGUUGCUCCAACCAUCUUAUACCCGGGACCAGGUGCACAGUAUGUGGACUGAGGUGUAAACGCUAAGGCCCUCACGAUGAUGAGCGUUUCAAGACCGUGGCAGCAGACCAUUAAGUCACCUUCCAGGCCGCGUGUGACUGCGUGGGCCACAUACCGGUGACGCGGCCUUCUCCACAGUGCAUUCUCAGUUGGUUUCUGCAGCAGACAGGCUCUUAAUCUACUGCCUUGGCUAGAUAGGGUGCAGCUCCUGGGCUCACUUGAUCCUCCUGCCUCGGCCUUCUGAGUAGCUGGGAUUACAGGGAUGGUUCAUCUGACAGACGGCUCUGUCCUCUUCUCUUCCUGUCCCUGUGCUGCCCAUUAGCAUGCAGUGGGAGUCACAACCCCGAGGAUCUGGACAACCCAGGGAACAGGAGCCAGCAAGUCUAGACCUCAGAUUCCUGUGGGAGUCACACCGAGGACAAGUGAGCGUGCUGACCCCAUGCGGGGGUGCGAGGUGGGGGGCACUCAGCCAUAUUAUUCUUCACUUAAUGGAAUUUUCUUGCUCCUUUAAGUAGAAAAACACAAGUAGCUCAUGUGGCACCCAUUGAAGUAGCUGAUAAAA
Long non-coding RNA from Nycticebus coucang (slow loris), 2519 nucleotides. RefSeq lists it as uncharacterized. NCBI's taxonomy places the organism in Eukaryota, Metazoa, Chordata, Mammalia, Primates, Lorisidae. The transcript is spliced from 3 exons. The record is from RefSeq and is a predicted model, not a curated record.